CUUAACUGUUCGAACACCGAGGGGACUGCCAGACUUGGGACCGGGAGAGGUCAGAGGUACUCCAGGGGUAGGGGCUAAAUCCUGUAAUCCUUGGAGGACCACCAGUGGCGAAGGCGUCUGACUAGAACGGAUCCGACGGUAAGGGACGAAACCCUGGGGCGCAAACCGGAUUAGAUACCCGGGUAGUCCAGGGCGUAAACGCUGCAGGCUUGGUGUUGGGGACCCUACGAGGGUGCCCAGUGCCGGAGUGAAGAUGUUAAGCCUGCCGCUUGGGGAGUACGUCCGCAAGGAUGAAACUUAAAGGAAUUGGCGGGAGAGCACUGCAACGGGAGGAGCGUGCGGUUCAAUUGGAUUCAACGCCGGAAAACUCACCGGGAGCGACGAUUACAUGAAGGUCAGGCUGACGACCUUACCUGAUUUUUCGAGAGGUGGUGCAUGGCCAUCGUCAGUUCGUACCGUAAGGCGUUCUGUUAAGUCAGAUAACGAACGAGACCCUCGCCCUUAAUUGCCAACCCAUUCUCCGGAGUGGGCGCACAUUAGGGGGACCGCUGGCGCUAAGUCAGAGGAAGGAGAGGUCAACGGUAGGUCAGUAUGCCCCGAAUCUCCCGGGCUACACGCGCGCUACAAAGGAUAGGACAAUGGGAUGCGAUACCGAAAGGUAAAGCGAACCCCGAAACCUAUUCGUAGUUCGGACUGAGGGCUGUAACUCGCCCUCACGAAGCUGGAUUCCGUAGUAAUCGCGGGUCAACAUCCCGCGGUGAAUAUGCCCCUGCUCUUUGCACACACCGCCCGUCAAACCACCCGAGUUGGGUCUGAGUGAAGGUACUCUUUUUGGAGUGCUUGAACUUGGGUUCAGCAAGGAGGGUUAAGUCGUACAAGGUAUCUGUAGGGGAACCUGCAGAUGGAUCACCUCCU
RNAcentral lists this ribosomal RNA (915 nucleotides) under Thermoplasmata archaeon. RNAcentral describes it as "bacterial SSU rRNA". It matches the Rfam family "Archaeal small subunit ribosomal RNA", at positions 558 to 1478 of the family's 1478-position model. Lineage: Archaea; Methanobacteriati; Thermoplasmatota; Thermoplasmata. The record is from RNAcentral.